RNAcentral lists this ribosomal RNA (456 nucleotides) under uncultured bacterium. Its description in RNAcentral is "bacterial SSU rRNA". It matches the Rfam family "Bacterial small subunit ribosomal RNA", at positions 340 to 786 of the family's 1533-position model. The record is from RNAcentral.
UACGGGAGGCAGCAGUGGGGAAUAUUGCACAAUGGGCGCAAGCCUGAUGCAGCCAUGCCGCGUGUAUGAAGAAGGCCUUCGGGUUGUAAAGUACUUUCAGUCGUGAGGAAGGUGUUAAGGUUAAUAACCUUAGCAAUUGACGUUAGCGACAGAAGAAGCACCGGCUAACUCCGUGCCAGCAGCCGCGGUAAUACGGAGGGUGCGAGCGUUAAUCGGAAUUACUGGGCGUAAAGGGCACGCAGGCGGUUAAUUAAGUUGGAUGUGAAAUCCCCGGGCUUAACCUGGGAAUGGCAUUCAAGACUGGUUAGCUAGAGUCUUGUAGAGGGGGUAGAAUUCCAUGUGUAGCGGUGAAAUGCGUAGAGAUGUGGAGGAAUACCGGGUGGCGAAGGCGGCCCCUGGGACAAAGGACUGACGCUCAUGUGCGAAAGCGUGGGGAGCGAAACAGGAUUAGAUACC